Molecule: ribosomal RNA, 553 nt
Filed under: uncultured bacterium
Lineage: Bacteria
Description: bacterial SSU rRNA
Rfam family: Bacterial small subunit ribosomal RNA
Source: RNAcentral
CGGGUUUUCCGCGCCGUAGCUAACGCAUUAAGUGCCCCGCCUGGGGAGUACGGCCGCAAGGCUAAAACUCAAAGGAAUUGACGGGGGCCCGCACAAGCGGCGGAGCAUGCGGAUUAAUUCGAUGCAACGCGAAGAACCUUACCAAGGCUUGACAUGGGCUGGAUUGCUUCGGAGACGGGGUUUCCCUUUUUGGGCUGGUUCACAGGUGGUGCAUGGUUGUCGUCAGCUCGUGUCGUGAGAUGUUGGGUUAAGUCCCGCAACGAGCGCAACCCUUGUCUCGUGAUGCCAGCACGUUGUGGUGGGGACUCGCGGGAGACUGCCGGGGUUAACUCGGAGGAAGGUGGGGAUGACGUCAAAUCAUCAUGCCCCUUAUGUCUUGGGCUUCACGCAUGCUACAAUGGCCGGUACAGUGGGUUGCGAUGCUGUGAGGCGGAGCGAAUCCCUGAAAGCCGGUCUCAGUUCGGAUCGGUGUCUGCAACUCGACACCGUGAAGUUGGAGUCGCUAGUAAUCGCAGAUCAGCAGCGCUGCGGUGAAUACGUUCUCGGGCCUUGU